AGUGGGGUCAAAAGCGCCAGCGGCGGAACGCACACGCGCUGGAGGUCCAGAGGUCGCAGGUUCAAAUCCUGCCCCCGCUA
RNAcentral lists this transfer RNA (80 nucleotides) under Nocardioides marinus. RNAcentral describes it as "tRNA-OTHER". The record is from RNAcentral. Lineage: Bacteria; Bacillati; Actinomycetota; Actinomycetes; Propionibacteriales; Nocardioidaceae.